RNAcentral lists this ribosomal RNA (301 nucleotides) under uncultured bacterium. RNAcentral describes it as "partial 16S ribosomal RNA". It matches the Rfam family "Bacterial small subunit ribosomal RNA", at positions 509 to 807 of the family's 1533-position model. The record is from RNAcentral.
CAGUAGCCACGGUAAUACGGAGGGGGCUAGCGUUGUUCGGAAUUACUGGGCGUAAAGCGCACGUAGGCGGCUUGGUAAGUUAGAGGUGAAAGCCUGGAGCUCAACUCCAGAAUUGCCUUUAAGACUGCCGAGCUAGCAGGUGAGAGAGGUAAGUGGAAUUCCGAGUGUAGAGGUGAAAUUCGUAGAUAUUCGGAGGAACACCAGUGGCGAAGGCGGCUCACUGGUCCAUUACUGACGCUGAGGUGCGAAAGCGUGGGGAGCAAACAGGAUUAGAUACCCCUGUAGUCCCUGUCUCUUAUAC